UCAUCAUGUCUCAGAAAUGGGCUCUCUGUCUCUCCCUCUUCCUCCCUUUCUCUGUCCGUCUCUCUCUCUCUCUCCCCCUUUUAGUCAAUGAAGUCUGGUUUAUUCUGAUGUCCUCCCUACUGCUAUUGGAAGGUAGAGAUAUUCAGAAGAUAUUGAAGGUGUGACCACAGACCAAUGCCCCGCCCCCUCAGAUUCACUACUUGAUGUUAGCACUAAUCCCAGUACAGAUUGGACUCAAUAGGUCAAUGGAAAUGAAAGAGAGAGACAGAAUGGGGACAUCAAAUUCAUUCUAUCAAAGGAUGUGGUAUCUUGUGAGGCCAGUCAUUCCCUGGCAGUAUGUGUCUUACUGGGUGUCUGGUCUAUGACUAUUGAGCUAUUGGGAUGGGUCUGUCCUGAG
Amphimedon queenslandica is the source of this 397-nucleotide long non-coding RNA. RefSeq lists it as uncharacterized. Lineage: Eukaryota; Metazoa; Porifera; Demospongiae; Haplosclerida; Niphatidae. The record is from RefSeq and is a predicted model, not a curated record. The transcript has 4 exons.